CUCUCCCUCUCCCUCUCCCUCUCCCUCUCCCUCUCCCUCUCCCUCUCCCACACAUUAUCAAGCACACAGUAACAAGAUAAACUGCAACCCAUCGCCAGCAGGGUAAACAUGCUGAAAUUCGUGCCAUAUGGUAACAGAGCGACAUCCAUGGCGACCGCGUUUCAAUAUAUAAAAAUCAGUGUACGUGGUUCUCCCCUUUGCCGUGAAAUUGAAACUCAAGCCUCCGUGGUAGGUAGGAGAAAUACAAGACUAAAAGACAAGAAUUACACACACGGGAGAGGGGGAAUACUUUUACUUCUUUCUGCGGACCAAUCAGCGUCGAGCAAGCGAUAAACCAAAGAAGAGCGAAGUCGUGGGAGAGCCAAUGGGAAAGCUACUUUUAUUUCACACGUCCGACUGUGGUUACGGAGGGAAUGGGAUCGGUUCACAUACCUUUAAAAAGGUAAAAAGGGAUAUGUUCUUUUGAUUCUCUUCCGCGAGACUCGAAGAAAAGAAAGAGAGAGAAGAAGAAAUCAUGCAUAUUUAAUCGGUGGAAUUCGCCCCACGAUCAUAACCAGUGGCGACACGAAGCCAGCGGCGCACGGAUCCGAACGUGUGUACACUUGCUAAACUGGGUCGUGUGUUCGUGUGUUUGUGUGUAUGUGUGCGUCGUGACGUCGCGAGAAACAGCUGAUCGCAGCUCCCACAACAGAGAGCGAGAGGGUCGAGAGAGGGAGCGCCCCGUCGCCAGAGAUUCGAGACCUUUUCACCCCGAAAACUUGCCCCUUCCGCAGUCGAAAUGGUGCUUGCAGGCGUCCGAAGGGCACCUCUGUCCUCCGGGAGAGACGGCAGCCCGACUUUGCUUUUGAGAAAGUUUUUAUCUUUGACAGACAGGUAUAGACAGAGAUGAUGAUGAUGAUGAUGAUGAUGACUACGAGGGAAAUGAUUAUGAAUAGGGAUGAUCGGGGAUGGUUAUCCUUAAGUAUAUAUAUAUAUAUAUAUAUAAAAGGGAAGAGAGAGAAAGAGAAAGAGAGAGAUAACAGAGAACCGGAUGGGAUAUCGCGGGGCCGUUGCGAAGUGGAAGACAGACAGACAGAGAGAGAGAGAAAAAGAGAGAUAGAGAGAACAGGGAGAAGCGAGGAAUAUAAAAAGACAGAAGGAAGAGUUAAGCCGUCUAGGACUUGGGAAGGAAGGAAGGAAGGAAGGAAGGAAACUUAGGCCAAGGACGCGAACAGGAACCCCUCCUCCCUCCCCCCUCCCUCCCUCCCUGUUGAAGGAAUCUUUGUUAUCUUUUCUCUUCAUAUCUCUCUUGGUCCUGCAACCGCCAUCGUGCAAUGAUACCCAAAUGACUGCCUUCCUUGUGAGUAUGUUUCAAAAAGGUGUGGAUUGAAAUAUUAUCAUUCUCUUUGUUGUUAAAAUCAAAGAGAGAGAAAAUAAAAGUUAUAUGAUGUCUCUCAACAACACGUGUUAUAAUGAAUGUGUAGAAUGUGUGUAGAGAAAGACAUAAAAAAAAAAAUGGGAAAAAGAACGAUACUGAAAAUUCUAUAAUGGGAAAGUAUGUUUUAUUCUGUGUUGAAAGCUAACCUGUGCUACAUGUGUUGUAUCUCUGGUUUAUUUAUGUAAUGUGUGUGUGUAUACCGGUAGGCUCUGAACAUGAAAAUAAACUUGUGUGUAAUUGUGUGUCGGUAUGAACGGGAACACACAAGGGGGGAGAGGAGGGGCGGGGGGGGGGGGGGGGGGGUUAGGGAUGUGUGUAGGGAUGUGUAGAUACAGUGAAAGGGAUUCUCGACCAUUCCGUGAUACAACAUAGGAACACACACAACGCAAAUCCCCCCGCAGGCUAUACCAGAGAGAAGGAUGAACAAAUUUUUUUUUCUAAAUUCUAUUUUGUUUGAAGUGAAUAGAAUAAAAAUGAUUUGGACAUGUAACGUAAAUUUGGAGAAAAGGAAGACUGGAGGAGGAGGGUAGGCCGGGUUUGUGUGUAGCCUGAGGUUGGAAUAGGUCUCAACAUGGGCUUCUGAAAUUAGGCUCAAGUCUAUUGGUUUGGCCUUUUGUGUGUGUGUGUGCGUGUACGUGUGCGGGCAAGUGAGUAUGCGUCCGAGAGAGAGAGAGAGAGAGAGAGAAAGAGAAAGAGAAAGAGAAAGAGAAAGAGAAAGAGAGCAAGGGCAAGAGAGAGAGAGUGUGUGACUGAGCGAGCGUGCGAAAUAAAGUUAAAGAUAGAGAAUGACCGAGCGAGCGAGCGAGCGAGAGAUAGAGUUAAAGAUAGAGAAAGCGAGAGUGAAAGGGAAAGCACGAGAGAGGGAGACAAGCGAUGUAUUCUCUGUGCCUUCUAAUCGUGUGACGACCAUUGAACCCCAAGCAAUUAUAAUAAUGAUCAUUAUUAAUGGUAGCACCAAUGAUUAGCAGGUUAUUAUGAUUUAUAAUUUUUUCAAUCUUUCUGUAGAUGACAUCUGAUUAGGAAGUAACCAUCUUUGGAGGGUUUUUCCCUGUCAGUUAAUGAUUGAUUAGAUCAAGAAUAAAACAUUAAAAUAGAUUAAU
This 2517-nucleotide long non-coding RNA is filed under the name Penaeus japonicus. RNAcentral's name for it is "uncharacterized LOC122253167". The record is from RNAcentral. Lineage: Eukaryota; Metazoa; Arthropoda; Malacostraca; Decapoda; Penaeidae.